CCGCCCGUCGCUACUACCGAUUGAAUGGCUCAGUGAGGCGUUCGGACUGGCUCGGAGAGGUUGGCAACGACCACUCCGAGCCGGAAAGUUCGUCAAACUCGGUCAUUUAGAGGAAGUAAAAGUCGUAACAAGGUUUCCGUAGGUGAACCUGCGGAAGGAUCAUUACCUAGAGUUGUAGGCUUUGCCUGCUAUCUCUUACCCAUGUCUUUUGAGUACCUUCGUUUCCUCGGCGGGUCCGCCCGCCGAUUGGACAAUUUAAACCAUUUGCAGUUGCAAUCAGCGUCUGAAAAAACUUAAUAGUUACAACUUUCAACAACGGAUCUCUUGGUUCUGGCAUCGAUGAAGAACGCAGCGAAAUGCGAUAAGUAGUGUGAAUUGCAGAAUUCAGUGAAUCAUCGAAUCUUUGAACGCACAUUGCGCCCCUUGGUAUUCCAUGGGGCAUGCCUGUUCGAGCGUCAUUUGUACCUUCAAGCUCUGCUUGGUGUUGGGUGUUUGUCUCGCCUCUGCGUGUAGACUCGCCUCAAAACAAUUGGCAGCCGGCGUAUUGAUUUCGGAGCGCAGUACAUCUCGCGCUUUGCACUCAGAACGACGACGUCCAAAAGUACAUUUUUACACUCUUGACCUCGGAUCAGGUAGGGAUACCCG
RNAcentral lists this ribosomal RNA (645 nucleotides) under Phoma herbarum. RNAcentral describes it as "eukaryotic LSU rRNA". The stretch from base 305 to 458 matches the Rfam family "5.8S ribosomal RNA". Lineage: Eukaryota; Fungi; Ascomycota; Dothideomycetes; Pleosporales; Didymellaceae. The record is from RNAcentral.